Molecule: long non-coding RNA, 525 nt
Filed under: Homo sapiens (human)
Lineage: Eukaryota; Metazoa; Chordata; Mammalia; Primates; Hominidae
Description: non-protein coding LINC00906:9
Source: RNAcentral
CUUUGACCAGAUCACACUUUAUAAUAAGAUCAGAGGCAAAGAACUCUGACCAGAUCACACUUUAUAAUAAGAUCAGAGGCAGAGAACUUUGACAACUAUCUCCUUGCCCUCUGGCCCUGGGGUCAGGGCUACUCAAACAACACCUGCUGUCCCAAACCCGGAGAAGUGUAGAUUUUGGCACUGGUAGAGGAAUAACAGCUAUUGUUGACACUUAAUCUUGUGGGCCUGGAAUUUCAACUAUGUUUUCACAACUCGGAGCCUAUUGCUGCCACCUCUGUCAGGGAAGAUAAAUGGGCAUGAAUAAUAGACAGAUGAGUUUCCCAAAAGCCCAGACAGGCUGCAGGGAACACGUAAUGAGCAGACAGUGUGGUUCACGCCGGGGAGCCCAGGUUUAUCCAGGCCUCAUCCUCACUCCCUUUCUCUACUGAUAAUUGGACCCAACAGGACCAUUCCGAAUCAUUUUUCUCUCUUCAGUUAUUCUUCAGUUCUACUCAAAGGAUGAAGAAAGAUGAUACGAUGUGAUGG